CUGACGGUGCAGGGUUUCUGGAUGCGUCGCUGGUUUGGGCCAAAAUGGAACGAGGCCCAAUGGUGGUGUCCGAGCACGGCCUACGAGGUGUGGGCUGUAUGCUGGUCGAGACGAACUCGCGGAAUACCCGUAGGAUCGACCCGCGCCUGCCACUUCGUCUUCCUCGCCCGAAAGCCUUGACAAACCCUAAUC
This is a long non-coding RNA of Cucurbita maxima (winter squash), 192 nucleotides long. RefSeq lists it as uncharacterized. The transcript has 2 exons. The record is from RefSeq and is a predicted model, not a curated record. Lineage: Eukaryota; Viridiplantae; Streptophyta; Magnoliopsida; Cucurbitales; Cucurbitaceae.